UUUUGUUUCCUGGGCUUGUUCCUGAAGGGUGGCUGCUUAAAUUUUGGGUACGCAUCUUAGUUUCACAGUAAUAGCAAAUGAUACUUUUCCACGUUUAUGGUUUAAGAUUUCAGAUGUCUUCGUUGAAACAUAAAAAUAAAUGAAAUUACGUAGAUGCUUAGUGGCAGCUGGUGAUAACCACAGACUGAGGGACCCAGUAAUUUAAAGGCGCAAGUCUACGUGUCUUUGUCUCUUGGCCAACGUUUUUUUGUGUCUUUGUUCGUAAAUGGGGCCCCUAAGCCGGGUGGGACAAGGGGCAAAGCCCCGUGAUGUCAGUGACACAGCUUCCAAGGCAACAGGGAAGCCAGUUCUGACUCAUUCUGUUCUACUUCCUCUAGAAACAAUGCAAGGACGGCAGGGCUAACUGCCCCACCCACCCAACGGAGCCCCUGUGACCUCCACCAACAAGCUUCAGUGCACCUGCCCUACCAAGACCCAGGAGGGAGGGCACAAAUCCUUCCCCCGGCACUGCUGAGCAUAGGUGCCAAAUAGGGACCUCGUGUGACGGCGGCCCCCCUCCGCCUGUGGACAGCGUAAGGCACAUUUCCUGCUGGCCCACUCCUUCCAGGUGCCUAGGGCUCAGACCCAGUACAGCCAAUGACUGAUCAUUUAGUCUUCAGGCCUCCCCAAGGCCACUCCACGCCCAGAACAACGGGCUUCCCACCCCUGUCUGAUUCCUGAUCGCUGCCUAACUCCUACAGGUCUUUGUAAAACUCGGCUUCCUGCCCCUUGUCCAGGAACAGUCCUGCUUCCCCAGCUCAGUGAGCAUCCACAACACCCCGUAUGAAAGCCUAACACUCUGCUGACUUGUCUCCUGCCCCCCAACUUCCCAGCCUCGAUGACGUUUGACCGAAGAACUCAUUCUCAUUCCUCCGUGAUCCCACAGCUCUGGGCCCAGCGUCUGGUCCAUAAGAAAUGGUAGUUAAAGACAAAUCACCAACCUAAAUGUGAAGCCCAAAUAGAACUAGAAAAAUACUAGAGGCAAACAGGAGAAAAUCUUUGUGAUCUUGAGCUUGGCAAAGAUCUCUCACAGGUAACACCAAAAGCAUGGUCCAUAAGAGAGAACAUUAAAAAAAAAACAAACAUGAUAAGUUAGACUUCACUGCAAUUUAAAACUUCUCUUCAAAAGACAUUAUCAAGAACAUAAAAAGACGAGCCACAGAUUGGAAGAAAAGCAUCUGGAAAACACGAAACUGGUAAAGGGCUUGCUUCCUGAAUUUAUAAAGAACUCACCCAACUCAACGGCAACUCCGUAACUCAACUCCGUAAAAGAUGGUCAAAGAUUCAACACUUUGCCAACGAGGAUAUUCUCGGGAUGGCAAACGAGCACAUGAAAAGAUGCUCCACGUCAUUAGUCGUGAAGUAAAUACAAAUUGAAACCACAAGGAGCUACUACUACAUGCCUAGGAGAAUGGCUAGAAAAUAAAAUAAAAUAAAACAAUAUCGAGUGCGGGGAUUGGAGCAACGGGAACUCUCACUCAUUGCCGGUGGAAAUGCAAAACGGAAUAGAACCUUUGCACAACAGUGCAGCUGUUUCUUAUAAAAUUGAACCUGCACUAACACAACCCAGUAAUCCCACUCCUCAGCAUUUAUCCAAGAGAAAUGGACACUCAAGUUCACAUAAACGUUUGUAAUGGGAAUGUUUGUAACAGCGUGAUUCAUAGGCUUGGUUCAUAAGAGCGAAAACUUGAAACCACCCGACUGUCCUUUGAUGGUGAGUGGAUAUCACUGUGGUAUGUCCACGUGUUGAAUGACGUGCAAAAACAACGCAUGAAUUUUAAGUGCAUUGUGCUAAGUGAAAGAGGCCAAACUGAAAAGGCUACACAUUAUAGGAUUCCAUUUAUAUGACAUUCUGAAAAAGGCAAGACCAUAAGGACCGAAAACAGAGCAGUGGUUACCAGGGCUUGGGACCUCACCCUACAUUCCUCUCCAGCUAGUUCCUCAUCUGUAGCCUUUAUGAUAUCUUUUAUAAGAAACUGGUGGAAGUAUAUAAAUGUUUUUCUGAGUUCUGUGA
Leopardus geoffroyi (Geoffroy's cat) is the source of this 2053-nucleotide long non-coding RNA. RefSeq lists it as uncharacterized. The record is from RefSeq and is a predicted model, not a curated record. Lineage: Eukaryota; Metazoa; Chordata; Mammalia; Carnivora; Felidae. The transcript is spliced from 2 exons.